GGACCUGGGAUAGUAGAACACCGAAGUCCCUGCCCCAGAUCUGAGGAAAUGCAGUCAUUGGUACCAACAGUAUAUUAGCGAAAGAGACAGAAAGUGAGCAUUACAAUAUAACAACAAAUUAUGAACAAUGGCGCCUUAAAUAACCACAGGUGAGUACAGGGCAGGCAAAUGUUUUUUCAACACAUCAGGGAACAACAGCAAAAAUGCAAAGAACACAGAACAGAUAAUCCAGGGGUGGUAUAGUACGUCAUCAACAGGUGCGCGCAACACUUCCCGAUGCGGCUUUUUUGUGUCAAAACAUCUCGAUUCGGUACAUGAAAGAUGAAAAAGGAAACAGAACUUCUAGCUUGCAUCAAUGGAAUUGUCAAUAUAUGUUAAAAAAGGAUUGCUGAGUGAUUGGCAUGCAAGACAUAAUUAACGUAUUAUAUUUUCCAAAAGCUGUACGACAUAAUAUUUGAGAAGUGGAGAACAUCCUCUAACAGAAUUACCCCCAGACAAGGAUUUCAACGCUCAACUAUGUCUCCGUACCAAACACGACUAUGUCGGUUGCUGUUUGAAGGCAGAACUACACUUAAAGUGAUGCAAGGGAAACAACUCACUUGAUCAUGUAAGCUUUAUUCUAUAAGAGUUUCCUAUUCAUUUGAUCUCCUUUGACCCAAGGACCCAAGAGGGGCUGAAGAAAGAAGAACAGUUAUUAUUAUAAGGGACUGACGAAAGGUAUGUAUUGUACACCAAUCUUUGGAAUAAUGAACUGAGCAAGUAUUCUUAGACAUUGUCAAUUCAAAAAUAAAAAAUAGUAUGUUCUUUGUUUUGAUAUGAAAUAGUUGUCUGAAGGCAAAGAAAUAUUGUUUUGGCAUUGUCGGUCUGGCUGUCUGUCUGUCUUAAAUAAAAACACCUAUAAAGCAAAAAGUAUUUUAGCUAGACUCACCAAACCUCAAAUAAUUAUUAAUUGUCGCAUGACCUUUGCGCAAACAUAGAAUUAUCCCCCUUCACCCAGUAAAACCAGAGCAAAGUUUUUCUCCUUUGAUUUGUUUGAAAUAAAAUUGAAAAUAGUUACAGUUCAGAAAGUGUUUCAGCUAGAA
Molecule: long non-coding RNA, 1082 nt
Organism: Mercenaria mercenaria
Lineage: Eukaryota; Metazoa; Mollusca; Bivalvia; Venerida; Veneridae
Exons: 4
Source: RefSeq, a predicted model, not a curated record